This 253-nucleotide ribosomal RNA is filed under the name uncultured bacterium. Its description in RNAcentral is "partial 16S ribosomal RNA". It matches the Rfam family "Bacterial small subunit ribosomal RNA", at positions 524 to 776 of the family's 1533-position model. The record is from RNAcentral.
UACGUAGGGUGCAAGCGUUAAUCGGAAUUACUGGGCGUAAAGCGAGCGUAGUCGGUUAUUUAAGUCGGAUGUGAAAUCCCCGGGCUCAACCUGGGAAUUGCAUUCGAUACUGGAUAGCUAGAGUUCGGCAGAGGGAAGCGGAAUUUCUGGUGUAGCGGUGAAAUGCGUAGAUAUCAGAAGGAACAUCAGUGGCGAAAGCGGCUUCCUGGACCAGAACUGACGAUCAGGCUCGAAAGCGUGGGGAGCAAACAGG